AUGAAUAUUAUAUGGUUCUUUUACAUAUACUUUUUGAUUUUGUGAUCCUUGUUUGACUGGCUGGUCCUUCCUCUUCAUUUUUAUCUGGACAAAGCAGAAGAAGGUUUUUCUGCUUCUGAGUUCUAAAAAGCGCUUACUAACUUGGAAUUGGAGUUAAUUCUGAGCGUUUAAUCCAACAAGGAAGAAGUAUGGUGGGAUUUUCUUUUCCCUUUGGUUUAGUAUCCACAUCUGGCCAUCUUGUUCCUGAGAAAGAAUUUCACUUGCUGGCAUCUGUCCUCUUUGGCAUCUUUCUCUGCAAUAUUGUUUACAGAUUAGCGCGCCUUAUUAGCCUUCUCAGCGUUGAGGGAUAUGACGAACUCAGCAAAGCAGAAAAAGUUGAAUGGAAUAACCGGGGGUUCUCAACUGUACAUGCUAUCGCCGUAGCAUUUGCAUCUUUUUACCUUGUAGUGUUGUCAGAUACUUUUCAUGAGGAUCAUCGUGAUGAGCCAAUCGUUAGUAGAAGAUCUACCUUUUCAGAUACAACAUUGGGGAUCUCCUUCGGAUAUUUUCUGUCAGACUUGGGAAUGAUUUUUUGGUAUUUUCCUGCUUUAGGUGGACUGGAGUAUGUUUUGCAUCAUGCACUAUCUAUGUACUCGAUCUUUCUCGCCCUUUUAAGUGGAAAAGGCCAGAUUUACAUACUAAUGGUUCUGUUCUCUGAGAGCACGACUCCUUUUGUAAACAUGAGAUGGUACUUGGAUGUUGCUGGUAGGAAGAACUCUAACCUGUACGUCUUCAAUGGCGCAGUAUUGUUCCUGGGGUGGCUGGUUGCAAGAAUUCUUUUGUUCAUUUACUUUUUCGUCCACAUGUUUAUCCAUUUCGAUCAAGUCAAGACAAUGUUCCCUCUGGUAUUUUACAGCUUGCUCCCGGUGCCUCCAAUGCUGGCUACAAUGAAUCUCAUUUGGUUUUGGAAGAUCACCAAAGGUUUGAUCAAAACUGUUUCCAAGGCCAAACACAGUCAGUGAUCCUUCGAUCUCGAGAGUCGGGAAUUCGAUGUACCCCAAUGUACAUUAGUCGUACGUCUUCUUCCCUUUUGAUGGUUGUGGAGCUAGUUCGAAAAGCAGUACCCCUUUCUUUGACUCCGGAAGAUGACCCCUUGUGGGAGGAGUUAAAACAGCUGCAGAAGAAGAAGGAAGAAAUUGAUGUGCUGGCGCAUAAGCAUGUCCGGCGCAUUC
This is an RNA transcript of Pyrus x bretschneideri (Chinese white pear), 1211 nucleotides long. It is a transcript of the gene named TLC domain-containing protein 4-like, with no coding region annotated. The transcript has 10 exons. The record is from RefSeq and is a predicted model, not a curated record. NCBI's taxonomy places the organism in Eukaryota, Viridiplantae, Streptophyta, Magnoliopsida, Rosales, Rosaceae.